UACCUGGUGGUCCAGUGGCUAAGACUCCACACUCCCAAUGCAGGGGGCCCAGGUUCAAUCCCUGGUCAGGGAA
This 73-nucleotide transfer RNA is filed under the name Balaenoptera musculus (blue whale). It matches the Rfam family "tRNA". From Rfam's summary of the family: Transfer RNA (tRNA) molecules are approximately 80 nucleotides in length. Their secondary structure includes four short double-helical elements and three loops (D, anti-codon, and T loops). Lineage: Eukaryota; Metazoa; Chordata; Mammalia; Artiodactyla; Balaenopteridae. RNAcentral also lists the same sequence under 1 other name. The record is from Rfam by way of RNAcentral.